CAGCCGCCGCGGGAAUACGGAGGGGGCUAGCGUUGUUCGGAAUUACUGGGCGUAAAGCGCACGUGGGCGGCUUUGCAAGUCAGAGGUGAAAGCCCGGGGCUCAACUCCGGAAUAGCCUUUGAGACUGCAUCGCUUGAACACGGGAGAGGUGAGUGGAAUUCCGAGUGUAGAGGUGAAAUUCGUAGAUAUUCGGAAGAACACCAGUGGCGAAGGCGGCUCACUGGACCGUUGUUGACGCUGAGGUGCGAAAGCGUGGGGAGCGAACAGGAUUAGAUACCCCAGUAGUCCCUGUCUCUUAUAC
This 301-nucleotide ribosomal RNA is filed under the name uncultured bacterium. RNAcentral's name for it is "partial 16S ribosomal RNA". It matches the Rfam family "Bacterial small subunit ribosomal RNA", at positions 509 to 807 of the family's 1533-position model. The record is from RNAcentral.